This 358-nucleotide ribosomal RNA is filed under the name Habroloma nana. RNAcentral's name for it is "partial 12S ribosomal RNA". The record is from RNAcentral. Lineage: Eukaryota; Metazoa; Arthropoda; Insecta; Coleoptera; Buprestidae.
CAUAUUUUAGAGAUUUAAUCUAUCACUAAAUAAUAAAAUAAAAUUACUUUCAAAUCCACUUUUAAAUUACAUUUAAGACAAUUAUCCAUAUAAAUAAAUUUAUUGUAACCCAUCUCUACUUGAGUAUAAACUGCAUCUUGAUCUGAUUUAAAUUUUAAUAAAAAAUAUUGACUAUUGAAAUUCUUCUAAAAUAAUCCUUAACGACGAUAUACAAACUUAAUUAAACAAGUAAAACUUAUUGUGGAAUAUCAAUUACAGGACAGGUUCCUCUGAAAAGACUAAAAUACCGCCAAAAUCUUUUGUUUUCAAGAACAUAUCUAUUAAUAACCUAGCAAAAAUUUUACAUUUAAAAUAAUAU